UACGGAGGGAGCUAGCGUUGUUCGGAAUUACUGGGCGUAAAGCGCGCGUAGGCGGCUUUGUAAGUUAGAGGUGAAAGCCCGGAGCUCAACUCCGGAACUGCCUUUAAAACUGCAUCGCUUGAAUCCAGGAGAGGUGAGUGGGAAUUCCGAGUGUAGAGGUGAAAUUCGUAGAUAUUCGGAAGAACACCAGUGGCGAAGGCGGCUCACUGGACUGGUAUUGACGCUGAGGUGCGAAAGCGUGGGGAGCAAACAGG
RNAcentral lists this ribosomal RNA (254 nucleotides) under uncultured bacterium. Its description in RNAcentral is "partial 16S ribosomal RNA". It matches the Rfam family "Bacterial small subunit ribosomal RNA", at positions 524 to 776 of the family's 1533-position model. The record is from RNAcentral.